RNAcentral lists this ribosomal RNA (502 nucleotides) under uncultured bacterium. RNAcentral describes it as "partial 16S ribosomal RNA". It matches the Rfam family "Bacterial small subunit ribosomal RNA", at positions 29 to 523 of the family's 1533-position model. The record is from RNAcentral.
AUUGAACGCUAGCGGCAUGCCUUACACAUGCAAGUCGAACGGCAGCGGGGGAGCUUGCUCCCGCCGGCGAGUGGCGAACGGGUGAGUAAUACAUCGGAACGUACCCAGUAGCGGGGGAUAGCCCGGCGAAAGCCGGAUUAAUACCGCAUACGCCCUACGGGGGAGAGGGGGGGAUCGCAAGACCUCUCACUAUUGGCGCGGCCGAUGGCUGAUUAGUUAGUUGGUGGGGUAAAGGCCUACCAAGGCGACGAUCAGUAGCUGGGCUGAGAGGACGACCCGCCACACUGGGACUGAGACACGGCCCAGACUCCUACGGGAGGCAGAAGUGGGGAAGUUUGGACAAUGGGCGAAAGCCGGAUCCAGCAAUGCCGCGUGUGCGAAGAAGGCCGUCGGGUUGUAAAGCACUUUUGUCGGGGAAGAAAUCGUUUGGGGUAAUACCCCGAGCAGUUGACGGUACCUGAAGAAUAAGCACCGGCUAACUACGUGCCAGCCGCCGCCGUAA